RNAcentral lists this ribosomal RNA (253 nucleotides) under uncultured bacterium. RNAcentral describes it as "partial 16S ribosomal RNA". It matches the Rfam family "Bacterial small subunit ribosomal RNA", at positions 524 to 776 of the family's 1533-position model. The record is from RNAcentral.
UACGUAGGGUGCGAGCGUUGUCCGGAAUUAUUGGGCGUAAAGGGCUCGUAGGCGGUCUGUUGCGUCGGGAGUGAAAACUCAGGGCUUAACCCUGAGCCUGCUUCCGAUACGGGCAGACUAGAGGUAUGCAGGGGAGAACGGAAUUCCUGGUGUAGCGGUGAAAUGCGUAGAUAUCGAGAGGAACACCUGCGGCGAAGGCGGGUUGCUGGGCUGACACUGACGCUGAGGCGCGAAAGCUAGGGGAGCGAACGGG